Molecule: non-coding RNA, 819 nt
Organism: Oryctolagus cuniculus (rabbit)
Lineage: Eukaryota; Metazoa; Chordata; Mammalia; Lagomorpha; Leporidae
Source: RefSeq, a predicted model, not a curated record
UACAGGAGACUGGCAUCCCAAGCAGCAGCUUAACCAUCAUGCCAAUCACCUGUUCCUGUAUUUGUGAUCUUAUUCUUUCAGUAUUAUGUUAAAAACUCCAUUGGCUUUUCAAAUGUGUAUUGACUUAAACCAGAUGAAGUGGGGGAAGGAUCUGAUCAGAUAUUAAUUUGAAUCUUGCUGUUCUGUGGAGAAGAGUUUGAAAAAGGUUGGGAAACCCAUAUGGUGCCUCCUGAGGGUCACAGGGAGUGAAGAGAAAAAAAUGCUAUUCAUUCUCCAUAAACAACUGGUUCAAACAGCAGCACUCUGAAAAAACUAACACUUCUUACAAUAAGCAAAAACACAGAAAGACAAUUUAAGGUGAAUAAUGUACCAUUUCACAGAAUCUGAAGAAAGUCAUGUUCACAGAGAAGUGGAACAAGGACCAAUUAUAAGCUUAAUUGCAUGUCUAACAGGGAACAUCAAGUAUCAUCAGGAAACUUGCCAGAGUACCAUUCAAGGGCUUGGAUUAGCCAACAGGAGACCUGAAUUCCAGUCUCAGUCCUGCCACUUAACAGCCACAUGAUCUGAGUCAAAUCACCUUUUUUUCUUUUUUUGUAAUGUCCUCAUCUGGAAAUGGAAUACAUUGGUCUCCAUUUCUGUGAUUCUCUAAUUUCAUAUCUUAAAUAGAUAAAAUAACAACAACAAAAGAUGUUCAAUUUUUUCCUUUAAAUUAUCUAUUCUACAAAAAUACAUCUAGGUCACCUUCUCUAUUGGAAUCUUCCCUAGGAAUUACAUAGUCUUUUUACCAUUUAGCUGCUAGAGAGCCUCUUGAUUACUUUC